UGUGGAGGUGUGUGGUGGGGUGUGGAGGUGGUGUGGAGGUGGUGUAGUGGUGUGUGGAGGUGUGUAGUGGGGUGUGGAGGUGUGUGGUGGGGUGUGGAGGUGGUGUAGGGGUGUGUAAUGGUGUGUGGAGGUGUGUGGAGGUGGUGUAGUGGUGUGUGGAGGUGUGUGGUGGGGUGUGGAGGUGGUGUGGAGGUGGUGUAGUGGUGUGUGGAGGUGGUGUAGUGGUGUGUGGAGGUGGUGUAGUGGUGUGUGGAGGUGGUGUAGUGGUGUGUGGAGGUGUGUGGUGGUGUGUGGAGGUGUGUGGUGGGGUGUGGAGGUGGUGUGGAGGUGUGUGGAGGUGGUGUAGUGGGGUGUGGAGGUGUGUGGAGGCGUGUGGAGGUGGUGUAGUGGUGUGUGGAGGCGUGUGGAGGCGUGUGGAGGUGGUGUAGUGGUGUGUGGAGGCGUGUGGAGGUGGUGUAGUGGUGUGUGGAGGUGGUGUAGUGGGGUGUGGAGGUGGUGUAGUGGUGUGUGGAGGUGGUGUAGUGGGGUGUGGAGGUGGUGUAGUGGUGUGUGGAGGUGGGGUGUGGAGGUGUGUGGAGGUGUGUGGUGGGGUGUGGAGGUGGUGUAGUGGUGUGUGGAGGCGGUGUAGUGGUGUGUGGAGGCGUGUGGAGGUGGUGUAGUGGUGUGUGGAGGCGUGUGGAGGUGGUGUGUGGAGGUGGUGUAGUGGGGUGUGGAGGUGGUGUAGUGGUGUGUGGAGGUGUGUGAUGGGGUGUGGAGGUGGUGUGGUGUGGUGGUGGUGUGUGGAGGUGGUGUGGUGUGGUGGUGGUGUGUGGAGGUGUGUGGAGGUGGUGGUGUGUGGUGGAGGUGGUGUGUGGAGGUGUGUGAUGGGGUGUGGUGGUGUGUGGAGGUGGUGUGUGGAGGUGGUGUAGUGUGGAGGUGGUGUAGUGUGGAGGUGGUGUAGUGGGGUGUGGUGGUGUGUGGAGGUGGUGUAGUGGGGUGUGGUGGUGUAGUGGGGUGUGGGUGUGGAGGGAUAAGAUGAGAUGAGUUCUGUUCUGAUGAGAUGAGAUCUGUUCAGAUGAGAUGAAAUGAGUGGGGAGCGGACAGAUGCAUCUCCUGCAGGGACAUCUCUCUGGAAAAAAUAAAUCAAUUGGCAAAUGUUACACAAACAACUCAG
Clupea harengus (Atlantic herring) is the source of this 1153-nucleotide long non-coding RNA. NCBI's taxonomy places the organism in Eukaryota, Metazoa, Chordata, Actinopteri, Clupeiformes, Clupeidae. The record is from Ensembl.